GCUGCGUAAGCACCCUUCCAUUAUCCAUAUAAAUCAUAUUAUAAUAUUUCUCUAUAUAACACAAAUAUAGAGAAAUUUCUUAUAUCACAUGUAGCAAAAACAAAUUUCUUAUAGUUAAACGGUCUUCAACUUCUGUCGAUAGUUGCAAAUAGCCUAGUGUUAUUACAUAAGUUGAUAUCUUGAACAUCCAUGGUUCGACCUAGUUAUAAAUUCUAUAUAGAAUGGUCCAAAGUGAGACCCUCCCAA
Long non-coding RNA from Arabidopsis thaliana (thale cress), 246 nucleotides. RefSeq annotates it as other RNA. The transcript has a single exon. Lineage: Eukaryota; Viridiplantae; Streptophyta; Magnoliopsida; Brassicales; Brassicaceae. The record is from RefSeq.